Molecule: long non-coding RNA, 653 nt
Organism: Eriocheir sinensis (Chinese mitten crab)
Lineage: Eukaryota; Metazoa; Arthropoda; Malacostraca; Decapoda; Varunidae
Exons: 4
Source: RefSeq, a predicted model, not a curated record
GGCCUGUAUACGGCGAACUCACAAAGGGAAGUGUAUGAUGCCUGAGUUUUACCUGCCUCUUCCUGCUGCUCCAACCUGCUUGUCCCCGCGGCCCUGGGAGAUUAAUGCGCCUGGUUGUUGACACCUGUUACGUCGCUUCCAGAACGUGAGUGCUGAGGAAUUAAAUCACAGAGUGGCUUUGUUCUUGCAUAAUCUCCCUGAGUUGAAGGCUGCGGGGCUGGCGGCAGGACAAACACUAUUCCCGGUCAUCAAGGGUCAGCAUGGACCUGAGCCGCGCGAUUGCGAGAGCAGCGUGGCGUGCUGGCCGUGGGCAGGACGAGAUCACCGGCCUGGUCGACAUCACGGGCCUGGUUUGCACGCCAUACACGCCUCUCCAUCCCGUGUGAACCAAAGAUCAGAAGGAGGGUUGAUGUGUCGCGCUCGUCUACAGGAAUGCGCUAUACGCCAGGCAUGUAUGAAUUUCUGAGGAGCGGAUAAAUAUCUAAUGUGACCUGGAAGAUGGAGAGACAGGUGUGUUUAAUCUUGCAUCCCACGGCGCCCGGCCAAUCCCGUGCACUAACAAGUAUUUUUAAUUCUAUUUUUCGACAUUCGCAACCCGGCCCAUGACCUUUACUUCUGACCCGUUGUAUUGUUGCGAAAAUAUUGAAGUAUUG